RNAcentral lists this long non-coding RNA (274 nucleotides) under Oncorhynchus kisutch (coho salmon). RNAcentral's name for it is "lncRNA (ENSOKIG00005026512.1)". The record is from RNAcentral. Lineage: Eukaryota; Metazoa; Chordata; Actinopteri; Salmoniformes; Salmonidae.
AUGCCUAAAAGGAGCAAAGCAAGCGCUGAUGUUGAGGCAGCAGAGCCUAAGAGGAGAUCUGAGAGAUUGGUAAAUAAACCUGCAAUUGCAAAGGCAGAGCCCAAGCCAAAGAAGGAGAAGGCAGCACCUAAGCCCAAGAAGGCUAAAGAGGUGAAAAAGACCGAGCCUGAGAAGGAGGUGCCCGCAGAGAAUGGAGAAGCCAAAGCUGAGGAAGAGGCACCAGAAGAACCUGAACAGAAAGAGGAGGAAGAGGCGGCCGAAUAAAGAUCAGAAG